This is a small nuclear RNA of Erinaceus europaeus (western European hedgehog), 151 nucleotides long. Its record names the gene U1. It matches the Rfam family "U1 spliceosomal RNA". Rfam says of the family: U1 is a small nuclear RNA (snRNA) component of the spliceosome (involved in pre-mRNA splicing). Its 5' end forms complementary base pairs with the 5' splice junction, thus defining the 5' donor site of an intron. The record is from Ensembl. NCBI's taxonomy places the organism in Eukaryota, Metazoa, Chordata, Mammalia, Eulipotyphla, Erinaceidae.
AAAUCAGGGAGAUACCACAAAGGUGGUUUUCCUAGGGCGAGGCUUAUCCAUUGCACUCUGGAUGUGCUGACCCCUGCAAUUUCCUCAAAUACGGGAAACUCUCGACUGCAUAAUUUGUGGUAGUAGAGGACUGCUUUCAAGCUCUCCCCCU